ACAAAGAAUAUUUCUUUUCACUUUUAAUAGAGUUUAUCUUUUAGAGCAGUUUUGGGUUCCCUGCAAAACUGAGCAGAAAAUGCAGAAGAGUUCCUAUAUGACUCCUGACCACCCUCCUCCCUCAUAUCUGCAUCCCCCACCAGCAGAGUGGUACAUGUGUUAUAAUUCAUGAAACUAUAUUGACACAUCAUUAUCACCCAAAGUCCACAGGCUACAUUACGAUUCACUCUUGGUGUUGUACUUUUGGUGUUGUAUGGGUUUUGAGAAAUGUAUAAUGAUAUGUGUCCACCAUUAUAGUAUCAUACAGAGUAUUUUCACAGUCAUAAUGAUCCAUGAAUCUCUGCUUAUUCAUCCCCCUCUCCCUUAAACUCCUGGCAACCACUGAUCUUCUUACUGCCUCCAUAGUUUUUCCUUUCCCAGAAUGUUGUAAAGUUGGAAUUUUACAGUAUGCAGUCUUUUUAGAUUGGUUACUUUCACUUAGUAAUGUGCAUUUAAGUUUCUUUCAUAUCUUUCUAUGUCUUCAUAGCCCAUUUCUUUUUAGCCCUGAAUCCUAUUAAUAUUCCAUUGUCUAGAUGUACCACAGUUGACUUACUCAUUCACCUGGUGAAAGACAUCUUGCUUGCUUCCAAGUUUUGGAAUGAAGAAUAGAGCUGCUAUAAACAUCUGUGUGCAGAUUUUGGUGUGGACGUAAGCUUUAAAUUCAUUUGGGCAAAUGCCUAGGCGUUUGAAAGCUGGAUUGUAUGGUAAGAGUGUGUUCGGCUUUGUAGGAAUAAUUUUUUUCAGUUUAAGUAUGUCCCUAGUAUUGCAUGACAACCCUCCCUGCUAAAGAUGGAGUGGCUUCCUGCAGUGCAGUGCGUGCAGAGGUCACAACAUUUCUAGUCACGGUUGUGACCAAUAGGGUAAACUUUUACAUUUCUAUCUGCCCCUCCAGUUGGGGUAACUCACCCCUACCCACUGGCUGGAUACCUUGGCAGCCAAUGGGGCUAGAAGGAGCCAGAGACCCCAAUCGAGGACGGCUGGGCCAAGACAUAUUCUUGAUCCUCGUUGUGCCAGUCACCCUUAAAAUCCCUGCUGGACUUGGUGCUGUGGGCUUAGAGGUGCCCUAAAUUCCAGAACUGCCUCUGGGCUUCUUGCCUUCUCUCUCAUUCUCCUUCUGUACCAUGUUGAUUUCUGGUGCCCAGGCCUUGUUCCUGCUGCUCCUGACUUUGUUCCCCUGGACUGCUGGGUUCGGAUGAUACCAAAUAUUCCUCAAGGUGGGCUGAAGCCUUCAGGAUUGAGGCCCACGGUCUGGAAGGCAUGAGCCCUUCUCCGUGGAGCUGUUUGAGGUUAGAAGGAAAAGCAGCCUCUCCUGUGUCAGGGCGAUGGCAGUGCCGGGUGUUGCACAGGCUGGGUUCGGCAUGACCACUUCCGCUUCCCUGCCAAGAUCGCUGUCGCUCAGCCACUUCUUGAGGCUAGGCUCCAAAGCGGUGGCGUCAAAACUGGCUGCUCAGUGGAGGCCCCUAGGGAGCUGUGAACGCCCCCGUGGGCAGGCCUCACCAGGCUCAGUAAGUCAGGAGGCUCAAGGUCGCAGCAGGCAGGGGUAUUCUGAGUCUCUGAGGGCGGAACCCCUGGUCUCCGGGGAGCUGCCUCUGGGCCCCAGCUGGGGGCACCAUGGAAGGCAUUUCCGCCCCGGGCACUUUGCCCAGCCGGCUGUCCCCCAAGCCGCAGCCUUCUCACUUCGGGGAGUCGAGGCCCUAGGCUGACCUCAGGUGCUAGGGUGCGUUCCUGGCCGCCGUGGGGCCCAUUAUCUGACGCGGAGCAGCCGUGGGCGCCGUGCGUGCCGGUUCCCUGCGUGCCCGGCCCCAGAAUGGACCAGGCUGGAGUGCGACGGUGAUUUGAGGCAGUCACUGAUUAUUUCUAUGCCUCCGUGGACUCUUCUUUUGGAAAAUCUAAGUUCCCUAAAACUCUAACAGUUAAUCUGAUAAAAUGGGACAUAAAAUACAUAUUUUUCCUUCCAUGUGAUGUGAAGAAGUUGAGCUUCAAAAAAACGGUCACAAAAACAAAGAGAGUGCCUGGCGGCCUGGACUCCGGAUCCUGUGAAAUAAACCCGGCCGGAGCUGCUCUUGUCUGAGGACAGGAGUCCUUGAAUCACCUUAUUCCUGCGAAUAAAGGUGUCCCUCCCGCUGGUCAAGCUCUUGAACUGGGUGAAUAAACCCAAUUUUUGUAAAAUCAUAAUGUUAAUUAACUAAUGGUGGAAACAAAAAUUUAAUCAUAAGGUUUGUGAAUAGGCAUGGAUUCCAAGCAAAGAGACUGAGAUGCUUUAAAAUAGAUGUUUUUCACCAACCUGUCUACAAAAGAGGCUGUUUUGCCGGAGAUCCUGGCACUCAUUGUUGCCUGAGAUUUUUCUGGGACUGUGGAUAGAGCGGUCACAUGCAAGCUGUGACUCUCAUUGUUGUGUGCUUCCAGGGAAGACAAGCUACCUUUUGAAUUAAAAGGAACAAAUAAUUCUUGUCCUAAAUUGGAAACCAUAAAUCUGAGUAUCUUCAAGCAGGAGUGAAAACAUCAUGGCUAAAUCCUCAUAUCACUGAUAUCUGCGGGAGUUCCCAAUCUGGCUGAACCACUGGAGAGAAGACGAUUCCCUUGAGAAAUAGCCAGCACUGUCUGCCAGUUAGAUGGGGAAAGUUACAGGCACUUCUUGCUGCUGCCAUGUGAAGAAGGACGUGUUUCCUUCCUCUUUUACCAUGAUUGAAAGUUUCCUGAGGCCUCCCUACCCAUGCUGAACUGUGAGUCAAUUAAAACUCUUUCCUGUCUAAAUUACCCAGUUUUGAGUAUGUCUUUAUUAGCAGCAUGAGAAUGAACUGAUACACAUGUAUAUUCCCCAAUUUGCUUAUCCAUUCAUCCAUUGAUGGACACUUGAGUAGGUUACACAUUUGGACUAUUGUGAAUAAUGUUGUGAGUAUUGGGGUACAGAUAUCUCUUUGAGAUCCUGCUUUCUGUUCUUUCAUGUAUAGAGGGUUGCUAGGUUAUAUGGUAAUCCUUUUUUUAAAUUUCGAAGAACCACCAUAGUGUUUUCUACAGUGACUAUAUUGUUUUAUAAUCCUAGCAGCAGUGCACAAGAGUUCCAAUUACUCUAUAUUCUCACCAAAACUUGUUAUUUUCUGGGUUGUUUUUGUUUGUUUGUUUUUUGUUUUGGAUCAUAGCCAUUUUAAUGGGUGUGAGGCUUUAUCUAAUCGUAGUUUUGAUUUGCAUUUUCCCAAUGAUUAGUGAUAUUGAGAAUCUUUUCACGUGCUUAUUGGCCAUUUGUAUAUCUUUGGAGAAAUGUCUUUUUAAGUCCUUUUCCCAUUUUUCAAUCAGAUUGCUUUUGGUUGAGUUAUAAAAAUUCUUUAUACUAAAUAUUAAUCCCUUAUUAGAUAUAUGAUUUCCAAAUAUUCUCUCCCAUUCUGUGGGGUUGCUUUUUUACUCUGUUGAUAGUGUCUUUUGAGUCACAAAAUUUUAAACUUUCAGGAACUCCAUUUUGUCUGUUUUUCUCUUUUGUUGUCUGUAGCUUUGGUAUUAUGUACAAGAAAUCAUUGCCAAAUCCCAGUGCCAAAUAUAAUGUCCUUUUCUAUUUUAGAAUCUAUUUGCAAUUCUUUCUUAUUCUACCAAUCUAAUAUCCUGUUGGCUUUUAGUUAAUUAUGGCCUAUUGCUUAAUUUUCCCCUCAUGACAUUUUACUCCUAUUUCAUAAAGAAGGUGAUUUCUUGAGCAUUUUUUAAUUGUGUUAAAAUAAACAUAACAAAGCUUACCACUUUACUCAAUACUAAGUAAAAUAAGCCAGUCACAAAAGAACAAAUAUGAUUCUACUUGUAUGAGGUACCUAUGAAAUGAGAGAGUUCCCUGAUUCCCCUCGCAGGAUGUGUGACAGGGUGUGGCUUGCCUGCUAGGUCAUCCCACAGCUCAAACCCCUACCAGGAGCAUCCAGACAGGCAGGUGCAGAGGCCCAGGUGAGGGCUUUUGGGCUUCGGCCCCAUGGCAGCAUCUAGCGAUGGGUGUCUGUGACUCCUGAAGCCCAAAUGGGCGUGUGUUACCAAGCUCUUUCAGAUUUGCCUUCUCUACCCAGCACUUCCCUGCCCCACUCCCGUAUUACCUAGAGUAGUGAAAUUCAAGGAGACAGAAUGGCUGCCAAGGGUUGGGGAUGAGGGAAUAGGGAGUUAUUGUUUCAUGAGUAUAGAGUUUCAGUUGAGAAAGAUGAGAAAAGUUCUAGAGAUGGAUGGUGUUGAUGGUUGCACAACAAUGUAAAUGUAUCUGAUCUUGAGUCUUUUAAAAAAUACCAACCACUUGGCGGGCGCCUGUAAUCCCAGCCUCUCGGGAGGCUGAGGGAGGAGAAUGGCGUGAACCCGGGAGGUGGAGCUUGCAGUGAACCGAGAUCAGGCCACUGCACUCCAGCCUGGGUGACAGAGCGAGACUCCAUCUCA
Pongo pygmaeus (Bornean orangutan) is the source of this 4431-nucleotide long non-coding RNA. RefSeq lists it as uncharacterized. NCBI's taxonomy places the organism in Eukaryota, Metazoa, Chordata, Mammalia, Primates, Hominidae. The record is from RefSeq and is a predicted model, not a curated record. The transcript is spliced from 3 exons.